This is a long non-coding RNA of Nicotiana tabacum (common tobacco), 1657 nucleotides long. RefSeq lists it as uncharacterized. NCBI's taxonomy places the organism in Eukaryota, Viridiplantae, Streptophyta, Magnoliopsida, Solanales, Solanaceae. The record is from RefSeq and is a predicted model, not a curated record.
UUAUUCAUCAGCCCAUUAAAGGGGCAUCCCAACAAGCCUAUGCGUUACCCAACCACCUUCCAAUCCAUCCAGCCCACACUAUAAGACCAAGCCCGCCUGCAUAUGACCAAUCAGUAACUUUUUCUUUGAUUUUGUUUUAAUGUGCUUCUUCCCUAUCUUCCUUUUCUGGUGAAAGCCCGACAUCUGCAUAAGCCAUGACAAAGCUCUGACUUUCCAAUUCGAGUAAGACUUUUGCUCCUAUUUUGAGAUCACGUGAAGUCUGCAAAUUCUGUCCAAAAUUCCCAACGUUUCAAAUUCAAACGGAGUUGAAUGAAAGCCGAAGAUAGUAGAUCUUCUUGACGACGCCCCGUUCGCUGCCCACAAAAAGGUCGGUGACUUUAAAUUUAUCUCUUCUGCUUAAGGUCUGAAAUGAAUAUUUGUUUGAUUUGAGUGCGAGCUACGGAUCAAUUUAGUUUGUUUUGUGUGAAGAAUGGUGGUUUAGUAUCGUUUUUUAGAUAUAUACGUGUUAGAGUUACUGCCUAAAAAAUGAAUAUUGGGAAAGAUUAAAAUCCAUGUCUAAACUUUAAAUAAAGAUUUGCAUUAUGUCUUGUUAUAGAGUUGGAGAACGUGCAACAAGCUGUAAGCUAUUCCUGUUUUAUUUCUUCUAUGUUAUUACAAACCAUUUUCAUUUCUAUUCCCCUUAACUACUUUUCAUGAAGUCUGUAUAUGGUUUGGACAUAUGUACUAAAUUAAGUCACUCUAGCUUGUUAAAUUUGGCUAAGUUUAAGGAAUUAACUUGCAAUAGUAUGCUAUUACAAAUACUUUUGCCAUUGUAGGAUACAUCAAUUUUAGUUUAGGCUAGAGCUAUUUUAAAUAUUUGUAAUAGACAACAACUAUAAACGAGUCUGAGAAUUUUUUUUUACAUGCUAGAGAUCUUGGUUAUAUGAAGGCCUAAAUGUGUUCAUGUAGUUAAAUGACUUGCUUACAAGUUCAGCAGUUUAUACUCGAUUUAUUAACAUUUUGGCGUGUCUUAGUUAGUGUUCUUACUUACUUUGGCUUCAUAAGCGCGUUACUCUGCUGGAAUUUGUUAUCUGGGAUUGUCGAAAAGAAUUUUUUUUUAGGAAAGAUCUAAAUAUCAUUGGCCAUAGGAUUAUAAGGUGUUUAUUCGAACCAUAUUGUUAAACUUCCCUUUAGACCCAAUGCUUUAAGACUUUAAAAUACUUUUUUGGGGACAUAGCUUGUGGAUUGUUGCAAAACCAAAGAAGGAAUGAUAUGCUUAUUUUGGGUCUUUGAUUUUUGUAUAUUACAUAGUACUAAAUUUUCCCUCUAAUUCUGUGUUCCUUUUUUUCCUUUGUUUGCAUAUGCACUUGGAGCAAAUCAUGGAGUCUUAAGCAAGACUCUCCCAUACCCGCACGUGGAGUCAAUGCCUCUCAUUCUUUAGAUGCACCGGAUAGCGAGAAAAACAUGUGAAACGCUUGGGGGCACCUAUGGCGUCUUUCUUUACAUCCAUGUUGUCUAACUUCUUGAUUACAGAUGAUUUAUUUGUAUUUGUGCUUAUCUCAUAUUUAGCAUGAGUUUUGGUAAUUAAGUUUAUUUAAUUAUUUAGUAUUUUUGCUAAAUAAAGUACUCAUUCAUCACAUAGGACUAACAUUAAAUUAGAUGAAGACUUGAAACCUUC